UACAGAGGUGGCAAGCGUUGUUCGGAAUUACUGGGCGUAAAGGGCGCGUAGGCGGCCUUCUAAGUCAGACGUGAAAUCCCCCGGCUUAACCUGGGAACUGCGUCUGAUACUGGGAGGCUUGAGUACGGGAGAGGGUGUGGGAAUUCCUGGUGUAGAGGUGAAAUUCGUAGAUAUUCGCAAGAACACCAGUGGCGAAGGCGGCUCACUGGCCCGUAACUGACGCUGAGGCACGAAAGCGUGGGGAGCAAACAGG
This 253-nucleotide ribosomal RNA is filed under the name uncultured bacterium. RNAcentral's name for it is "partial 16S ribosomal RNA". It matches the Rfam family "Bacterial small subunit ribosomal RNA", at positions 524 to 776 of the family's 1533-position model. The record is from RNAcentral.